Long non-coding RNA from Papaver somniferum (opium poppy), 403 nucleotides. RefSeq lists it as uncharacterized. The record is from RefSeq and is a predicted model, not a curated record. The transcript has 3 exons. Lineage: Eukaryota; Viridiplantae; Streptophyta; Magnoliopsida; Ranunculales; Papaveraceae.
UCCAUGUUCCUCCUACUCCUGUUCCUCUUCCUCAUACCCGUACUCAUACUCCUGCGAUUUCUUACUCUGUUCUUCUUCUUCAUUAUCAUCAUCGUUGGUCAACUGUUCGAUCUAUAAUCGUCCUUUCUCUAUUUCUACAUCUACCAACAGAGCUGAUUUUGGGUGAUUUCAAGAUGAAAUAGAUGAAGAAGAGAUGGUUAUGCUGAGUAACAGAUGUCAGGGAAACGAGUAGUGGAGAUGGGUUUAAUGGUAAGCCGCCGUAGUUCAUGUUGGAAGUGAUACGGAGAUAGAGAAGGGAAAUGGAAAGCUAAAGAAGAGUACUGAUUGAUGCACAGCAACACCACCAGGUUGUGCAUGCAAAAUGUUCGAUGUAAUGCAUGAUACACUAGUCUCGAGUAUGAUG